RNAcentral lists this ribosomal RNA (426 nucleotides) under uncultured Rhodocyclaceae bacterium. Its description in RNAcentral is "bacterial SSU rRNA". It matches the Rfam family "Bacterial small subunit ribosomal RNA", at positions 356 to 774 of the family's 1533-position model. Lineage: Bacteria; Pseudomonadati; Pseudomonadota; Betaproteobacteria; Rhodocyclales; Rhodocyclaceae. The record is from RNAcentral.
GGGGAAUUUUGGACAAUGGGCGCAAGCCUGAUCCAGCCAUUCCGCGUCAGUGAAGAAGUCCUUCGGGUUGUAAAGCUCUUUCAGCAGGAACGAAACGGUUGGUCUUAAUACGGCCUGCUAAUGACGGUACCUGCAGAAGAAGCCCCGGUUAACUACGUGCCAGCAGCCGCGGUAAUACGUAGGGUGCGAGCGUUAAUCGGAAUUACUGGGCGUAAAGCGUGCGCAGGCGGCGACAUAAGACAGAUGUGAAAUCCCCGGGCUCAACCUGGGAACGUCGUUUGUGACUGUGUGGCUAGAGUGUAGCAGAGGGGGGUGGAAUUCCACGUGUAGCAGUGAAAUGCGUAGAGAUGUGGAGGAACACCGAUGGCGAAGGCAGCCCCCUGGGUUAACACUGACGCUCAUGCACGAAAGCGUGGGGAGCAAACA